CAGAAAUUUCAUAAACCUUCCAAGAUGAAGUUCUUCCUCACCCUACUAGUAUUGGCUGUUGUUUUUGUCCUUGAUGUUCGCUCAAAUACCGGAAGCAGACAUCAAACAGGCCAGUGUAACGAAAAUGAAGAACAUUUGCCCGACGCAUGUGCGGAUGCUCCUUUAACAUGUGAUACUUACAAAAACCCGGAAACAAUAAAAUAUGGAGGCUGUCAUAGUGGAUGUCUUUGCAAAGAGGGAUACGUGAGACCAAACGAAAAUUCGGAUCAGUGUAUUCUGCCCACAAAUUGCCCAGCUUGACUUCGCAAAUAAAAAUGAAACAUUUCCGAUCGCUAGGGCUUUUUGAAUAGUGAAUCUUUCAAUCAAAUGAACUUAUAACUAUUAUCGUAUGCAAUAAAUGAAGAUCUUCAAAAAAAUA
This is a long non-coding RNA of Uranotaenia lowii, 418 nucleotides long. RefSeq lists it as uncharacterized. The record is from RefSeq and is a predicted model, not a curated record. The transcript is spliced from 2 exons. Lineage: Eukaryota; Metazoa; Arthropoda; Insecta; Diptera; Culicidae.